UAACAGGUUAAUAUUCCUGUACUUCUGGUUACUGCGAUGGAGGGACGGAGAAGGCUAGGCCAGCUUGGCGUUGGUUGUCCAAGUUUAAGGUGGUAGGCUGAAAUCUUAGGUAAAUCCGGGGUUUCAAGGCCGAGAGCUGAUGACGAGUCGUCUUUUAGAUGACGAAGUGGUUGAUGCCAUGCUUCCAAGAAAAGCUUCUAAGCUUUAGGUAACCAGGAACCGUACCCCAAACCGACACAGGUGGUCGGGUAGAGAAUACCAAGGCGCUUGAGAGAACUCGGGUGAAGGAACUAGGCAAAAUGGCACCGUAACUUCGGGAGAAGGUGCGCCGGCUAGGGUGAAGGAUUUACUCCGUAAGCUCUGGCUGGUCGAAGAUACCAGGCCGCUGCGACUGUUUAUUAAAAACACAGCACUCUGCAAACACGAAAGUGGACGUAUAGGGUGUGACGCCUGCCCGGUGCCGGAAGGUUAAUUGAUGGGGUUAGCGCAAGCGAAGCUCUUGAUCGAAGCCCCGGUAAACGGCGGCCGUAACAAUAACGGUCCUAAGGUAGCGAAAUUCCUUGUCGGGUAAGUUCCGACCUGCACGAAUGGCGUAACGAUGGCGGCGCUGUCUCCACCCGAGACUCAGUGAAAUUGAAAUCGCUGUGAAGAUGCAGUGUAUCCGCGGCUAGACGGAAAGACCCCGUGAACCUUUACUGUAGCUUUGCACUGGACUUUGAGCCUGCUUGUGUAGGAUAGGUGGGAGGCUUUGAAGCGUGGACGCCAGUUCGCGUGGAGCCAUCCUUGAAAUACCACCCUGGCAUGCUUGAGGUUCUAACUCUGGUCCGUAAUCCGGAUCGAGGACAGUGUAUGGUGGGCAGUUUGACUGGGGCGGUCUCCUCCUAAAGAGUAACGGAGGAGUACGAAGGUGCGCUCAGACCGGUCGGAAAUCGGUCGCAGAGUAUAAAGGCAAAAGCGCGCUUGACUGCGAGACAGACACGUCGAGCAGGUACGAAAGUAGGUCUUAGUGAUCCGGUGGUUCUGUAUGGAAGGGCCAUCGCUCAACGGAUAAAAGGUACUCCGGGGAUAACAGGCUGAUACCGCCCAAGAGUUCAUAUCGACGGCGGUGUUUGGCACCUCGAUGUCGGCUCAUCACAUCCUGGGGCUGAAGCCGGUCCCAAGGGUAUGGCUGUUCGCCAUUUAAAGUGGUACGCGAGCUGGGUUUAGAACGUCGUGAGACAGUUCGGUCCCUAUCUGCCGUGGACGUUUGAGAUUUGAGAGGGGCUGCUCCUAGUACGAGAGGACCGGAGUGGACGAACCUCUGGUGUUCCGGUUGUCACGCCAGUGGCAUUGCCGGGUAGCUAUGUUCGGAAAAGAUAACCGCUGAAAGCAUCUAAGCGGGAAACUUGCCUCAAGAUGAGAUCUCACUGGGAACUUGAUUCCCCUGAAGGGCCGUCGAAGACUACGACGUUGAUAGGCUGGGUGUGUAAGCGUUGUGAGGCGUUGAGCUAACCAGUACUAAUUGCCCGUGAGGCUUGACCU
Molecule: ribosomal RNA, 1521 nt
Filed under: metagenome
Description: bacterial LSU rRNA
Rfam family: Bacterial large subunit ribosomal RNA
Source: RNAcentral